RNAcentral lists this long non-coding RNA (541 nucleotides) under Anas platyrhynchos platyrhynchos (common mallard). RNAcentral's name for it is "lncRNA (ENSAPLG00000026098.1)". The record is from RNAcentral. Lineage: Eukaryota; Metazoa; Chordata; Aves; Anseriformes; Anatidae.
AUAUUGUCUUGUCUCAUGUUUAAUAUGUGUUAAACAUAGUUGAAUCACUACCAGAAGUCUGGGUAAAAUUUGUUUAAAGCUCUUGCUCUUUAUCUAGAUUUCUGUUGUGGGUGGGAUCAAUUAUUAUUUAAAGCUUAAUUUUCUAAUGACUUCUGAAAUUUACAGAUUUAUUUUUUACUCUCCGUUGAAUGAAGAUUCCUAGCAGAUCAUCCGCACUGUUGAAGGAAGAAGGAAAAUUCAAUUUUCUCCUAUUUAGAUGCACAACCACGGAGUUCUUGCUGUGAAACGCAUCAAAUAUGAAAUUGGGCUAUGCUCCUUGAUUAUAGUUCUCCAGUUACAUGAUAAUUACAGGUUGCGAUUACAGGUUUAGUUGUCUAAAGUGUAAGGAUUCAGACCGUAACCUCCAAGCUAAUCCAGCCAUCUAGACUCUCUCAGGUCAGCUGGAUGUGUUAAUGUGCCACCACCAUGACUUUAUGGAUGCUGCCCUCUGCAAGGUCAGUACGACAUCUAGUGGGUCAUAGCUUCCUUUUGGAGGUGUUUU